Molecule: long non-coding RNA, 603 nt
Organism: Lutra lutra (Eurasian river otter)
Lineage: Eukaryota; Metazoa; Chordata; Mammalia; Carnivora; Mustelidae
Exons: 3
Source: RefSeq, a predicted model, not a curated record
GAAGAGAAUUUUGUGACAUAUUUCACUGUUCUUAAGUAAUUUUUUUAUGGGAACACGGUCACACUCCUUAACUUCCUUAUCGUCUGGUGGCUGCUUCUGUGCUCUAUCGGGAAAGCUAAGUAGUUGGGACAGAGAUGACGCAGCCUUACAAAGCCUAAAAUAUUUAUCAUCUGGCCUUUACGGAAAAGAGUCCCCUCUUACCAUGUCUGGCUGGCGGCGACCCAGAUGCCACGUGAUGGUCAUUUGAAGACAGGCCUGUCGGAUAUCAGGAAUCCCAAGGUCCAGACGCCUGCCUUCAGGGACCUGGGCUUUCGGCUCUCAUACCUGGCCCUGGUUGAUGGCCCCGUGCUGAGCAGUGCAUGUGAAGACACACAUGGUAAGGAAAUGGCAGAGUUGCUUCUGGGACUGGAAGGAGAUGGGGAAACCUGCCAGAGAGGAACAGGAUUUAGGGGCUCCAGUACGAGAGGAGAGAAAUGCAGGUGGUCGUCUUGGGGGUGUCUACACUAGUCGCGCUCAAACUGCGUGGGUUCGUUUAGGUGUGGCUUUUUUAUAGUGGGUACAGACAUGUAUUUACUCCUUUGUAUGGUUUUCUUCAUGUUUUCU